Molecule: transfer RNA, 81 nt
Filed under: Rhodospirillaceae bacterium
Lineage: Bacteria; Pseudomonadati; Pseudomonadota; Alphaproteobacteria; Rhodospirillales; Rhodospirillaceae
Description: tRNA-Ser
Source: RNAcentral
GUAUCCAUAUGGUAUCCAUAGAAGUCCGGUUUUUGUUCUCUCACGCCGAAAACGGGGGUUCGACUCCCCCUGGGGACGCCA